UCGGUCCCGGUUCACGCCGAAACCUCCUGGUCAACGGAGGGGCGACCCGGGGCC
This is a regulatory RNA element of 54 nucleotides. It matches the Rfam family "L31-Actinobacteria ribosomal protein leader". The record is from Rfam.